AUUGAACGCUGGCGGCAGGCCUAACACAUGCAAGUCGAACGGAGCGGCGGACGGGUGAGUAAUGUCUGGGAAUCUGCCUGGUAGUGGGGGAUAACGUCUGGAAACGGUCGCUAAUACCGCAUACUAUCAGAUGAGCCCAGGUCGGAUUAGCUAGUUGGUGGGGUAACGGCUCACCAAGGCGACGAUCCCUAACUGGUCUGAGAGGAUGAUCAGUCACACUGGAACUGAGACACGGCCCAGACUCCUACGGGAGGCAGCAGUGGGGAAUAUUGGACAAUGGGCGCAAGCCUGAUGCAGCCAUGCCGCGUGUGUGAAGAAGGUCUUCGGGUUGUAAAGCACUUUAAGUUGGGAGGCGUUACCGACAGAAUAAGCACCGGCUAACUCCGUGCCAGCCGCCGCGGUAAUAC
RNAcentral lists this ribosomal RNA (407 nucleotides) under uncultured bacterium. RNAcentral describes it as "partial 16S ribosomal RNA". It matches the Rfam family "Bacterial small subunit ribosomal RNA", at positions 30 to 526 of the family's 1533-position model. The record is from RNAcentral.